Molecule: long non-coding RNA, 1603 nt
Organism: Lotus japonicus
Lineage: Eukaryota; Viridiplantae; Streptophyta; Magnoliopsida; Fabales; Fabaceae
Exons: 2
Source: RefSeq, a predicted model, not a curated record
CAUUAGACAUGGUAUGAUUUUAGUACCUUAAACAUUUCUUGUUUCUAAUUUUAAUCCUUGGAAAUUUUAUUUUUCAGGGCAAAUUCCAGGGACUAUCUACUAUAAGCCAUCAAGGCAGAAACUAUUCUUUCCCCCAUCACCUCUUAUCUCCCCCACCCAUUGCCUUCUCCCUCACCCAACUCCUUCUUCCCCCAGCAUUGCAUUUCCCCCUUCCUUCCACCCCGAAUCCCAACCCCCACCAUCAUCCACCAAGCCAAAAACUAUUCCCUUGACCAAAACCUCAAAGUACCAAGUAAAACCCUCCAUCGAUCCCUUGUUGUUACCACGCAACUGCAAUGAAUGCUGCAAAAUCAUCGUUUACCUUCGUGAGAUUCACCAUACCUUCAUUUCAACCUGUCAACCUUGAACUAGAGGUACCACAACCAGAGCAUCAUCCCUGAAACCAAAACCAAGAAACACUCACUCACAAUCUCACUCCCAAAACAUCAUUUUUCCUGCAAUAGAACUGGAACAAAUAAACGUUCUCUCCCCAAUCUCACAACCAGAAUCAAAAGAAAAGAAUUGGAAUUGUGGUUCGGUAUUUGAGGCCCACAACCAGUCUCACCCCCAAAAUCAGACAUGCAAUCUCUGGAUGUGCGAGAGAAGAGAGCAUAGGAGAUUGCGCGUUUGAAUUGAAACGCACCGUUUCACUCAACAGGGGAAGAAAAAAAAAGUGGUGCAAUAUUUUUAAAGAAAGAAAAUGGGUUGAAAACCCACGGUUUCUUUCUAAUGUCACUCGAGAGCUAUCCCCCCUCCCUUCUGUCUUCGUUCCAAUCUUCCUCUCUCUCAAAAUCCUUAUCCUUCAAUUAAUACCUUCAUCUUCACCAUUUUUAUUUCAUGCACCAGCUCAACAGUAGAAAAGAGAAAGAAACACUAAUACCUGUUGUAGUUUGAACUUGGAAUUGGGUGGUUAGAAGGUUACACAUAUUUUGGGUUGGGUUAUUUAGAGCUCUUUGAGGUAAACUCUACAACCCAAAGAUUUAAGAAAUUCGUUUUUAUGGCAUGAAUUAGUAGUGGGUACUGUCAUAGUAUAGUAGGAAAUCAAGAGUUUGAUUUUUUUUCAUGAGUUCUCUAAAACCCUAAGUCUCAUAAAUUGGGGGUUUUUAUCUAAUCUCUUUGCUACCCAUUAUUGAUGCUCUGAUUCACAAGGAGGCGUUUCUGUUGGUCCAACGGAAGGUGCAGAAAGGGGUUGAGCUUGCUCUUCAUAGUUAUUCACAAGCAGCUAUGUAGCGGAUUUCUGGGCCUUGCUAAGUUACCCAGGAGUCUUCACUUGUUUUGGUAUGCCUCCAUUGUCCGGUGGCUAGUAUGUUCUUUUUGGUCGACUCCAGUAUGAUGCAGCCAUAGGCAUAGAGAGUCGUUUACUUACUUUGGGUUGUAAUUAUUAAACUCACAAUGUUAGCAGUUUGUUGGGUUUGUACUCUUGAAACCCUAUGAUGGGUGUUAUUUUGUUAUGAUGUAAUAUCUGGUUAUUGGAUAUCUAGAUGUAUGUUAUGACAGGUAUUUAUCAUUUUGAUGAUGAUGAUGUUGAAAAUACAAAGGAAACUCUGUCGAAAUUUCAGUAGAA